AGACUCUAUCAUAUCUCUCUUUAUAAAAUUGAGUUUCUUCAUAAAAAUUUUUGAAGAACACAGAGAUUUGAGAGACCUUUGGGGUAUCCAAAAAUCAGAGAGAAAGAUCUUUGGAUCGUGGAGAUAUAAUAGACACAAGAUAGGAUGUCUAGGAGAGAGAAAAGAGAAGAAGAAGAGGGUCUUCUUCUAGGGUUGUUAGUUUCAUCUCUUUUCUUUCUCCAUCUUGAGUUUUCUGAGAGUGUCUCAAAUCUAAAACUCCUCCUCCUACUUCUCAUCUUUGGAAGAGCCCAAAUCAAGAAGAAGGAAGCACCU
Molecule: long non-coding RNA, 312 nt
Filed under: Elaeis guineensis (African oil palm)
Lineage: Eukaryota; Viridiplantae; Streptophyta; Magnoliopsida; Arecales; Arecaceae
Description: long non-coding RNA (EGUI_LNC082379)
Source: RNAcentral